RNAcentral lists this ribosomal RNA (406 nucleotides) under uncultured bacterium. RNAcentral's name for it is "partial 16S ribosomal RNA". It matches the Rfam family "Bacterial small subunit ribosomal RNA", at positions 30 to 526 of the family's 1533-position model. The record is from RNAcentral.
AUUGAACGCUGGCGGCAGGCUUAACACAUGCAAGUCGAGCGAGCGGCGGACGGGUGAGUAAUGUCUGGGAAACUGCAUGAUGGAGGGGGAUAACUACUGGAAACGGUAGCUAAUACCGCAUACCAUCAGAUGUGCCCAGAUGGGAUUAGCUAGUAGGUGGGGUAAUGGAUCACCUAGGCGACGAUCCCUAGCUGGUCUGAGAGGAUGACCGGCCACCCUUGAACUGAGACACGGGCCAGACUCCUCCGGGAGGCAGCAGUGGGGAAUAUUGCACAAUUGUGGCAAGCCUGAUGCAGCCAUGCCGCGUGUGUGAAGAAGGCCUUCGGGUUGUAAAGCACUUUCAGCGAGGAGGCGUUACUCGCAGAAGAAGCACCGGCUAACUCCGUGCCAGCAGCCGCGGUAAUUC